AUCCAUUUUGCACGCAUCAGCCCACACUUUAAAGCCCAGCCCAUCUACUCGCGCAAAAUUUCCAAAAAUUGAGGUUCCAUCAAGUACGAUCAAAUCUUUCGUUUCGUGAUGACACGCAAAACUGAAUAACAGUCGCUGCAAGACAAGAAGAGAAAGAAGAGCAUCAUGCAGAAUUCUUGAGGUCGAGAGUAAAGCAAUUUCUUGCUUAUUUUCGUGUUGUGCAUCUCUCACAUGCGGUUUCUGCUCCUCCAUCGUCUCUGGAAUCUUGAGGUGCUCCGCUAGACUUGCAUACUGCGGCCUGUUCGGAGUCUCCUUGGUGGUUUCAUGGAUUCUCUGAUAGUUCGCAGCUCCUCUGACGGAGAAGAUGCCAUGAAAAAAGGGGAGAAUAUUUGGAACUCUGAUAUUUGGCUUCUAAUUUCUCAUUGUAAGAUCAGGUGGGAUAACCUCUUCUCGAAGCAGAAGGACUUGAAGGAUGGAAAGAACAAAAAGAAUGAGGGAAAGGGAAAACAUGUCAGUUACUCCUAUACAUUCUUCCACCUGAUAUUUUGCUAUUGCAAGCAUGUACUCAGCUAUGCUAUGGCUGGGUUAGCCUGAAUGAGAGCUCGAACCUCGUAGACAUUGGCUGGACAUCGGUUUGGGAACGGAUCUGCCCAGAGUGGGUCACUUCUGCUCUAUAUAUUUGGUCACUUGUUGCCCCUCCCACAUCAAUUAGGAUAUAGGAACGAAACUUUCCUUUUAAGGUGUGAAAACCUCUCUUUAACAAAAACAUGUUUUAAAACCUUGAAGGAAAGCCUAAAGCCCAAAGAGGUCAAUAUCAUAUUUGCUAGCGGUAGGCUUAAGUUAUUACACAUUUUUCCUGAUUGCGAGUUCUUUUACGUCUGUAAUUCUGUUUCGAGUGUAUGAUUCACAUACUUGACUUUUGGGGAUCUUUUUUAUUCCUUUCCCAUUCUGCUUGUUUUUCAGCAUCCUUUGAUGCUCUUUUAAUAGUGGUACUGUUUCUACACCAAAUCAAAUAGUUAUUUAUAAUAUCCAAAUGGAUAAGCUUUCUCUUUCA
Long non-coding RNA from Cucurbita maxima (winter squash), 1054 nucleotides. RefSeq lists it as uncharacterized. Lineage: Eukaryota; Viridiplantae; Streptophyta; Magnoliopsida; Cucurbitales; Cucurbitaceae. The record is from RefSeq and is a predicted model, not a curated record. The transcript has 2 exons.